This 253-nucleotide ribosomal RNA is filed under the name uncultured bacterium. RNAcentral describes it as "partial 16S ribosomal RNA". It matches the Rfam family "Bacterial small subunit ribosomal RNA", at positions 1249 to 1500 of the family's 1533-position model. The record is from RNAcentral.
GCGACCACGCGAGUGUGAGCGAAUCUCAAAAAUAAACGUCUCAGUUCGGAUUGUAGUCUGCAACUCGACUACAUGAAGCCGGAAUCGCUAGUAAUCGCAGAUCAGCAUGCUGUGGUGAAUACGUUCCCGGGCCUUGUACACACCGCCCGUCACACCAUGGGAGUCGGUAACACCCAAAGUUGGUAGUCUAACCGCAAGGAGGACGCCGCCUAAGGUGGGAUUGAUGACUGGGGUGAAGUCGUAACAAGGUAAC